AUCCAGUUGACGAGUCCCAAGUUGGACGAAACGCGUUUCCUGGAU
RNAcentral lists this non-coding RNA (45 nucleotides) under Schistosoma haematobium. The record is from RNAcentral. Lineage: Eukaryota; Metazoa; Platyhelminthes; Trematoda; Strigeidida; Schistosomatidae.